GCACAAGCGGUGGAGUAUGUGGUUUAAUUCGAUGCAACGCGAAGAACCUUACCUGGUCUUGACAUCCCAGAAAUCCCUUGGAAACUGGGAGUGCUUCCAUUAGGAAGAAUCUGGAGACAGGUGCUGCAUGGCUGUCGUCAGCUCGUGUCGUGAGAUGUUGGGUUAAGUCCCGCAACGAGCGCAACCCUUGCCUUUAGUUGCCAGCAGUUCGGCUGGGCACUCUAAAGGGACUGCCGGUGUUAAACCGGAGGAAGGUGGGGAUGACGUCAAGUCCUCAUGGCCUUUAUGACCAGGGCUACACACGUACUACAAUGGCCGAUACAAAGGGCAGCGACACUGCGAGGUGAAGCCAAUCCCGUAAAAUCGGUCUCAGUCCGGAUUGGAGUCUGCAACUCGACUCCAUGAAGUUGGAAUCGCUAGUAAUCGUGGAUCAGCAUGCCACGGUGAAUACGUUCCCGGGCCUU
This 464-nucleotide ribosomal RNA is filed under the name uncultured Desulfobulbus sp. RNAcentral's name for it is "bacterial SSU rRNA". It matches the Rfam family "Bacterial small subunit ribosomal RNA", at positions 923 to 1382 of the family's 1533-position model. The record is from RNAcentral. Lineage: Bacteria; Pseudomonadati; Thermodesulfobacteriota; Desulfobulbia; Desulfobulbales; Desulfobulbaceae.